Molecule: long non-coding RNA, 383 nt
Filed under: Hordeum vulgare
Lineage: Eukaryota; Viridiplantae; Streptophyta; Magnoliopsida; Poales; Poaceae
Description: long non-coding RNA (HVUL_LNC015010)
Source: RNAcentral
UUUAGUCCUACGAUGAUGUAAAAGAUUCUUUCUCUUUGAAGUCUUCAAGUAUACAAUGACGAAAACAGUUUCUUGCAAUGUACCUGCUGUUAUCAUGGCCUUCACUGAAUGAAUCCUUCAUUUUUCUUCCUGUGGGACUUGCCCGAAACUGGACCGGGUUUGCCGUCGAUGCACUGUUAUGCAGAUUGAAUAACCUAUGUCAGUUACAAUUCUUAUGAUUGGUAUCGAAGACAUAAUUUAGGUACGAUGAUUGUACUGCGACUUUUAUGCAGGCCUGCUUGCCUUAGUUUCCUUUUCAUUUGCACAAUCUUCUGAGUGAUUGUGCCCUUCUGUUUAGCAUUUAUAUUCAACAACAAAAGGGGACUUUAUAAAUUACCUGAAAU